Molecule: ribosomal RNA, 366 nt
Filed under: uncultured bacterium
Lineage: Bacteria
Description: bacterial SSU rRNA
Rfam family: Bacterial small subunit ribosomal RNA
Source: RNAcentral
GUGGAAACGAGGUGCUAAUACCGCAUAAAUCCAAGAACCGCCUGGUUCUUGGCUGAAAGAUGGCGUAAGCUAUCGCUUUUGGAUGGACCCGCGGCGUAUUAGCUAGUUGGUGAGGUAACGGCUCACCAAGGCAAUGAUACGUAGCCGAACUGAGAGGUUGAUCGGCCACAUUGGGAGUGAGACACGGCCCAAACUCCUACGGGAGGCUGCAGUAGGGAAUCUUCCACAAUGGGCGAAAGCCUGAUGGAGCAACGCCGCGUGUGUGAAGAAGGCUUUCGGGUCGUAAAGCACUGUUGUAUGGGAAGAAAUGCUAAAAUAGGGAAUGAUUUUAGUUUGACGCUACCAUACCAGAAAGGGACGGCUAAC